Molecule: non-coding RNA, 1338 nt
Organism: Delphinapterus leucas (beluga whale)
Lineage: Eukaryota; Metazoa; Chordata; Mammalia; Artiodactyla; Monodontidae
Source: RefSeq, a predicted model, not a curated record
GUGGGACGGCCACCGGAGAUGCCUAACAUUGUGUUCUGAAGAGCGGCCAGAGGCACGAUGGAGCGGGCCAGGGACCGUUUACACCUGAGAUGGACCACAGAACAGCACGUACCAGAGGGAGAAGUCCAAGUCAAACGGAGAAGCACAGCCUCACUGAACAACCAGGAGUGUCACCUGUACCCAAGGCGACCUCAGCAGCAGCAAGUACCUGUGGUGGAUUUCCAGGUGGAACUGAGACAGGCAUUCUUAGCUGAGACACCAAGAGGUGGUUAAAGCAGUAUUGGAACACCCAGGUGGCAGAUUCCAAGAGAGAAAAACAAAGAAAAAAACCAGGCUGUAUCUACUAUUCGAAGCUUCCGCCCCAGCUUGCAUUGUUUGUAGGAGAACCUGCGUCAUACCUUGAUCUGUAGCCUUCCCUUAGGUCUUAAGGAUCCUGAAACUUGCCUGUGGACAUUGGAUUUGGUGGAAAAGCAAUCAUGACUGUGGGAAAGAGAAGCAAGAUGCUGUAGCACAUUUACUAUAGGAUGAGAUGUAUCUUGCAAGAUGACCAGAUCUUCAUUGGUGCCUUUAAGGCUUUUGACAAGCAUAUGAACUUGAUCCUCUGCGAUUGUGAUGAGUUCAGGAAGAUCAAGCCAAAGAAUGCUAAGUAGCCAGAGCAUGAAGAAAAGCGGGUUUUGGGUCUGGUGUUGCUGCAGGGGGAGAACUUGGUUUCCAUGACUGUGGAGGGACCAACCCCCAGAGAUACUGGCAUUGCUUGGGUACCACUUGCUGGAGCUGCAGGAGGCCCUGGGGUUGGUAGGGCAUCUGGCAGAGGUGUUCCAACUGGUGUUCCAAUGCCCCAGGCUCCUGCUGGAUUAGCAGGCCUUGUCUGAGGGGUUGGGGGCCCAUCCCAACAGGUAAUAACCCCACAAGGAAGAGGCACUGUCACAGCUGCUGCAGUUCCUGCUACUGCCAGCAUUGAUGGAGCCCUAACUCAGUAUCCACCAGGCCAGGGGACUGCACCUACACCUGCUGCUCGAGUAACCCUACUUCCAGGAAUUAUGGCUCCUCCACCUGCUAUGAGACCAUCCAUGGGCCCACCAAUUGGGCUUCCUCCUACUCGAGGGACACCAAUAGGCAUGCCCCUCCAUGAAUGAGACCCCCUCCCCCAGGAAUAAGAGGUCCAUCUCCCCCAGGAAUGCAUCCACCAAGACCCUAGGAUACUAUUGGUCCUUCUUAGUCACUUUUUUUCCUGCAAUGUGUCUUGUGAAAUGUGUGGACUGUUUGUGAGCUUUUUGUCCCCUCUGCUGCAUUAAUAUUAGCUAAUAAAUACAUAGAUCAAUUAAACUGUGAGGUACU